Molecule: ribosomal RNA, 253 nt
Filed under: uncultured bacterium
Lineage: Bacteria
Description: partial 16S ribosomal RNA
Rfam family: Bacterial small subunit ribosomal RNA
Source: RNAcentral
UACGUAGGGUGCAAGCGUUGUCCGGAAUUAUUGGGCGUAAAGAGCUCGUAGGCGGUUCGUCACGUCGGCUGUGAAAUCCCGAGGCUCAACCUCGGGUCUGCAGUCGAUACGGGCGGACUUGAGUACUGCAGGGGAGACUGGAAUUCCUGGUGUAGCGGUGAAAUGCGCAGAUAUCAGGAGGAACACCGGUGGCGAAGGCGGGUCUCUGGGCAGUAACUGACGCUGAGGAGCGAGAGCGUGGGGAGCGAACAGG